AAAUAAAACAAAAACACCUCUGGAGGCAGCUCCCAUGGCACAGGGGGCAGCCAGGUAAGAAGGGAUGAGUCCCGAAGGAGCAUUUUGCUUGAGUCCCGAAGUCGAACACAUCUUCCUAACUGCCCGCCAAGGGCCAUUCCGAGCACCUCUCACAUGCUGCUCCUCCCCGACACUGCUGGCCACGACACUGAGUGAUGCCACGUGAGCCUUGGACGUAACCAGCGCUUCACGUUGCCAUCAGACACAGACAUCGAUCGUGUAGUUGCUGGGGAAUCAGGAGGCGAAGCAGGCGGACAGAGAAAGGGACUUGGGAGGAAGACGACGUCUUGGCUCUGGCAUGGCUGGGGCUGAGGGUCAACCCCCUGCUGCUUCCAAGUCACAGAUUCGUCCCCCGGGGCAGGAGGUAGCGUUUCCACCCUGGUAGGUCUCGGAUGGUGCUGCUUUCCCAAGGAUCACGAGGGUCCCGGUAGGGCCUGCCCCGGCAAUGCUGCUUCUCAUUCCGCUCGCGAUGCCAAAAACUCGAAAGCGGGACCUUGAGGAAAUAUUUGCACAGCACGCUCACCGCAGCAUUAUUCACCAAGUAAUAACGGAAGUGGUCGGAGAGUCCGUCGAGGGAUGUAUGGACGACCUGGAGUCCAUCCACACCGUGCACAAGACAAGUCACUAAAAAAAAGAAGACCCAAACAGACGGGCGGCAGUAUAGGACCCAGCCCUACCUGUUCACCACGCAGACCGAACGAGCAGGAGGACCGAAAGGCAGACUUUCACCCGAGCACCAGCUUCAGGAAGUGGGAUGUGGCUCGACGAGCUACAGUCUUGAUGCACCUGCUCAAGGCUCACCCAGGGCUCAGUCAGACUGAGAACAGAGACUUCUACAAGAUUCAAUCCUUCAACAUGCAUUAGCAUUUUUCUGUCAUGAUAAAUCAGGUUUCUUCCUCGAAUACGUACUCGGUUCUGAGCCGAAGCCUCAGGUCACAGGAGACUCACACAGAGACGUCACUAAGCCGCACUUUGGGGUCUGAGUCAGCUCCCCACUUCUGGGUCUGCCACGUGGGUCUCUGUCUCCUCUCCCCUCCUUUAAAGGACCAUCAAAUGUGCUCCUCCCUGUUUAAAAGGCCAAAUAGCAGCCAGAAUGAGUGGGCAAGAGAAAAAAAAAAAAAGGCCAUCCGAACGGUACAUGAAGAAGUGAAGUCUACUCACAGGACAUCCUCUUAACCACGGAAAACCCUGGAGAUUCCCCUAAAUGAGAAACAACCCUCUAGAAGUAAUAAACAAAUUCGGGACUGAAGCCUGAUUGCAGGGACUGUCCUGUCUCACA
Neofelis nebulosa (Clouded leopard) is the source of this 1318-nucleotide long non-coding RNA. RefSeq lists it as uncharacterized. The transcript is spliced from 2 exons. The record is from RefSeq and is a predicted model, not a curated record. NCBI's taxonomy places the organism in Eukaryota, Metazoa, Chordata, Mammalia, Carnivora, Felidae.